UCUUUUCCAUUUUUUAUUAGGUAUUUAGCUCAUUUACAUUUCCAAUGCUAUACCAAAAGUCCCCCCAUAGCCACCCACCCCCACUCCCCUACCCACCCACUCCCCCUUUUUGGCCCUGGCGUUCCCCUGUACUGGGGCAUAUAAAGUUUGCAUGUCCAAUGGGCCUCUCUUUCCAGUGAUGGCCGACUAGGCCAUCUUUGUAAAAUUUUAUAAAGGUAAUCUUAAAUAUAUCAUGUAGUGGUAGAAAGAAACAUUUUCAUAUAUUUAAAGUGUGGCGCAUUGGGCAAUUCACAGACAGGCUGGUCUCCAGUCGGGCUGAGCUGUGGAACCCCGGGACCGGAGGUGAUAAUUCAUCUACAUUGGAUGAUACUUUCUCAACUAGAUCCAUUUCAUAACCUGUACUGCUGUUCUAGACUGCUGUAAUUUCUUUCGGCAUACAACCAGGCACUUGAUGUAUAACAUGUAAUGGGGAAGGACUUCAUAAUUGCAGAACUGUCUUCAAGGCUUCAUCUAAAAGCAGAGUCCAUUGCUUCUGACAACUGGCAAGAUUUCCAAGAUUGCCUGCAUUGGAGUAUAGCUUUAAAAAUGCAUGAAACUCAAGAAGAAUGAAGACCAAAAUGUGGACACUGUGCCCCUUCUUAGAAUUGGGAACAAAACACCCAUGGAAGGAGUUACAGAGACAAAGUUUGGAGCUGUGACAAAAGGAUGGACCAUCUAGAGACUGCCAUAUCCAGGGGUCCAUCCCAUAAUCAGCUUCCAAACGCUGACACCAUUGCAUACACUAGCAAGAUUUUGCUGAAAGGACCCAGAUAUAGCUGUCUCUUGUGAGACUAUGCUGGGGCCUAGCAAACACAGAAGUGGAUGCUCACAGUCAGAUAUUGGAUGAAUCACAGGGCUCCCAAUGGAGGAGCUAGAGAAAGUACCCAAGGCGCUAAAGGAAUCUGCAACCCUAUAGAUGGAACAACAUUAUGAACUAACCAGUACCCCGGAUCUCUUGACUCUAGCUACAUAUGUAUCAAAAGAUUGCCUAGUUGGCCAUCAGUGGAAAGAGAGGCCCAUUGGACUUGCAAACUUUAUA
RNAcentral lists this long non-coding RNA (1078 nucleotides) under Mus spicilegus (steppe mouse). Its description in RNAcentral is "lncRNA (ENSMSIG00000019131.1)". The record is from RNAcentral. Lineage: Eukaryota; Metazoa; Chordata; Mammalia; Rodentia; Muridae.